Molecule: transfer RNA, 85 nt
Filed under: Desulfobacterales bacterium
Lineage: Bacteria; Pseudomonadati; Thermodesulfobacteriota; Desulfobacteria; Desulfobacterales
Also listed under: 2 other names
Description: tRNA-Leu
Rfam family: tRNA
About the family: Transfer RNA (tRNA) molecules are approximately 80 nucleotides in length. Their secondary structure includes four short double-helical elements and three loops (D, anti-codon, and T loops).
Source: RNAcentral
GCGAGGGUGGUGAAAUUGGUAGACACGCUAGACUUAGGAUCUAGUGCCUGACGGCAUGGGGGUUCGAUUCCCCCCUCUCGCACCA